Molecule: transfer RNA, 75 nt
Filed under: Vibrio chagasii
Lineage: Bacteria; Pseudomonadati; Pseudomonadota; Gammaproteobacteria; Vibrionales; Vibrionaceae
Description: tRNA-Gln
Rfam family: tRNA
About the family: Transfer RNA (tRNA) molecules are approximately 80 nucleotides in length.
Source: RNAcentral
AGGGGUAUCGCCAAGCGGUAAGGCAACGGCUUUUGAUGCCGUCAUACGCAAGUUCGAAUCUUGCUACCCCUGCCA